CAAUAGCGUAUAUUAAAGUUGUUGCAGUUAAAAAGCUCGUAGUUGGAUUUGUGGUUCGUCCCGCCGGCUGGGUCAUUGACUUUUGCUGUGCUGGUCGUCCAUCCUUGGGUGGAAUCUGUGUGGCAUUAGGUUGUCGCGCAGGGGAUGCCCAUCGUUUACUGUGAAAAAAUUAGAGUGUUCAAAGCAGGCUUAUGCCGUUGAAUAUAUUAGCAUGGAAUAAUGAUAUAGGACCUUGGUACUAUUUUGUUGGUUUGCGCACUGAGGUAAUGAUUAAUAGGGACAGUUGUGGGUAUUCGUAUUCCAUUGUAAGAGGUGAAAUUCUUGGAUUUUUGGAAGACGAACUACUGCGAAAGCAUUUACCAAGGAUGUUUNCAUUAA
RNAcentral lists this ribosomal RNA (378 nucleotides) under uncultured eukaryote. Its description in RNAcentral is "partial 18S ribosomal RNA". It matches the Rfam family "Eukaryotic small subunit ribosomal RNA", at positions 592 to 976 of the family's 1831-position model. The record is from RNAcentral.